GAAAUGCGAUAAGUAAUGUGAAUUGCAGAAUUCAGUGAAUCAUCGAAUCUUUGAACGCACCUUGCGCUCCUUGGUAUUCCUUGGAGCAUGCCUGUUUGAGUAUCAUGAAAUCUUCAAAGUAAAUCUUUUGUUAACUCAAUUGGUUUCUACUUUGGUAUUGGAGGUCUUUGCAGCUUCACACCUGCUCCUCUUUGUUCAUUAGCUGGAUCUCAGUGUUAUGCUUGGUUCCACUCGGCGUGAUAAGUUAUCUAUCGCUGAGGACACUGUCAAAGGUGGCCAAGGUAAAUGCAGAUGAACCGCUUCUAAUAGUCCAUUGACUUGGACAAUCCUUUUAUGAUCUGAUCUCAAAUCAGGUAGGACUACCCGCUGAACUUAAGC
Molecule: unclassified non-coding RNA, 378 nt
Filed under: plant metagenome
Description: partial contains 5.8S ribosomal RNA, internal transcribed spacer 2, and large subunit ribosomal RNA
Rfam family: 5.8S ribosomal RNA (bases 1-105)
Source: RNAcentral